UGGGGAAUAUUGGACAAUGGGCGAAAGCCUGAUCCAGCCAUGCCGCGUGUGUGAAGAAGGUCUUCGGAUUGUAAAGCACUUCAAGUUGGGAGGAAGGGCAUUAACCUAAUACGUUAGUGUUUUGACGUUACCGACAGAAUAAGCACCGGCUAACUCUGUGCCAGCAGCCGCGGUAAUACAGAGGGUGCAAGCGUUAAUCGGAAUUACUGGGCGUAAAGCGCGCGUAGGUGGUUUGUUAAGUUGGAUGUGAAAUCCCCGGGCUCAACCUGGGAACUGCAUUCAAAACUGACUGACUAGAGUAUGGUAGAGGGUGGUGGAAUUUCCUGUGUAGCGGUGAAAUGCGUAGAUAUAGGAAGGAACACCAGUGGCGAAGGCGACCACCUGGACUAAUACUGACACUGAGGUGCGAAAGCGUGGGGAGCAAACA
RNAcentral lists this ribosomal RNA (427 nucleotides) under uncultured bacterium. RNAcentral's name for it is "partial 16S ribosomal RNA". It matches the Rfam family "Bacterial small subunit ribosomal RNA", at positions 355 to 774 of the family's 1533-position model. The record is from RNAcentral.